CCUUCUUCACCAGCAGCUGAGUGUCGAAGACGACCAGUUUUGCGGAGGUGGGUAUCAGAUCGUAACUCUUGUGGAAACGAAAGAACUUAACAAAGAUCUGUGAGUCGUCCUCCUCUGAAAUAGAUAAAAGAGAGCACAAUCAACAGCUCCCAGCACCUUCUUUGAGCAGUUGAGCAAGCAGACGCUUCCAGCCGUCGGAGAUUUGCUCAAACUCCUUGAUGCUCUCCAGUGGAUAGUAGAGCACAUCGGUGGGUCGACCGCUGCCGCCAAGAACCAAGCGGCCCGCAUGAUUCGAGUAAAAAUGCAGCUGUAACAUGCGGGGAGCGGUGCUGCGCGGUCUAGCGGGUGGCUUGAGAUGAGCCACAGCGAGGCACCAUCAGCUCAAUGGAGGCUGUCAAUUAACUGGAGCACACACAAUCGAUUUGAUUUCACAACGUUAAUUGAAUGUUUAAUUUAGCGUUUAACAGAAGCCUAACAGAGGCUAUACAGAGAUGCACCGUUCCACGCGCUUCUCACUGUUACGAAACGGUAAACACGUAAAACAAAUGACAAAUGCACCGAAAAUAAAAUAUUUAAUAUUUAUUUUCAA
Molecule: long non-coding RNA, 589 nt
Organism: Drosophila montana
Lineage: Eukaryota; Metazoa; Arthropoda; Insecta; Diptera; Drosophilidae
Exons: 2
Source: RefSeq, a predicted model, not a curated record